This 586-nucleotide long non-coding RNA is filed under the name Homo sapiens (human). RNAcentral describes it as "HSALNT0359448". Lineage: Eukaryota; Metazoa; Chordata; Mammalia; Primates; Hominidae. The record is from RNAcentral.
UUUUCCAGCUAACUGGAUGGGAAAAUUGAGAAUAGAUCAGAGUUAAUCUUCCUAACCACUAUACAACACAGCCUCAACUUAGUAUCUUUGUUUAUAUUUGCCUCCUUCACCAGCAAGUAAAGUCUCCUGAGGGCAUUGAUCAUAUCUUAUUUUCCUUUGUAUCUCCAGCCCCAACAUCCAGAACAGUGAUUUGCACAUAGCAAGGAGAUUUUUACAGAUGGAACUAUGAGGUUUGGCAACUCUCUUAAGAGAUUCAAGCAUUCAUCAAUCUAUCCAUCCCUCCAUCCAUCCACCUACUCAAGGACACCCAAAAAAUGAGGCUCUCGGGUAUUGAAGCAAAGCUACAACCCACAAAGCAGAUUACCCUGGAAACAGACUGGACAAGGGCCUCCCAGAACUGCCCCCCCAAGGCCAUUCUACCCAGAGCCUCAGAGAAGUGACCAGUCACUGGGCAAGCUUUCAACACAAAAUUAAUUACCUAGGUCCAGGGACCACCAGGACUACCAUAUCAUUCUCCAAGGUAAGGGCAGGGGACAAAGAACUAAGUGAGAAAAAGAUGAGGAGAUAGUGAAAACACCCACGGACA